RNAcentral lists this ribosomal RNA (448 nucleotides) under uncultured bacterium. RNAcentral describes it as "bacterial SSU rRNA". It matches the Rfam family "Bacterial small subunit ribosomal RNA", at positions 330 to 792 of the family's 1533-position model. The record is from RNAcentral.
CCCAGACUCCUACGGGAGGCAGCAGUGGGGAAUAUUGGGCAAUGGAGGAAACUCUUACCCAGCAAUGCCGCGUGAAUGAAGAAGGUCCUCGGAUUGUAAAGUUCUUUAAUUGGGGACGAAAAAAAUGACGGUACCCAAGGAAUAAGCCCCGGCUAACUACGUGCCAGCAGCCGCGGUAAUACGUAGGGGGCAAGCGUUAUCCGGAUUUACUGGGUGUAAAGGGAGCGUAGACGGCGAUGCAAGCCAGAUGUGAAAGCCCGGGGCUCAACCCCGGGACUGCACUUGGAACUGUGUGGCUGGAGUGUCGGAGAGGCAGGCGGAAUUCCUAGUGUAGCGGUGAAAUGCGUAGAUAUUAGGAGGAACACCAGUGGCGAAGGCGGCCUGCUGGACGAUGACUGACGUUGAGGCUCGAAAGCGUGGGGAGCAAACAGGAUUAGAUACCCUGGUA